ACCACUCUAGAGAUAGAGCUUCCCCUUCGGGGGCAAAGUGACAGGUGGUGCAUGGUUGUCGUCAGCUCGUGUCGUGAGAUGUUGGGUUAAGUCCCGCAACGAGCGCAACCCUUAUUGUUAGUUGCCACCAUUCAGUUGGGCACUCUAGCAAGACUGCCGGUGACAAACCGGAGGAAGGUGGGGAUGACGUCAAAUCAUCAUGCCCCUUAUGACCUGGGCUACACACGUGCUACAAUGGGAAGUACAACGAGUUGCGAAGUCGCGAGGCUAAGCUAAUCUCUUAAAGCUUCUCUCAGUUCGGAUUGCAGGCUGCAACUCGCCUGCAUGAAGCCGGAAUCGCUAGUAAUCGCGGAUCAGCACGCCGCGGUGAAUACGUUCCCGGGCCUUGUACACACCGCCCGUCACACCACGAGAGUUUGUAACACCCGAAGUCGGUGAGGUAACCUUUUGGAGCCAGCCGCCUAAGGUGGGAUAGAUGAUUGGGGUGAAGUCGUAACAAGGUAGCCGUAUCGGAAGGUGCGGCUGGAUCACCUCCUUU
RNAcentral lists this ribosomal RNA (538 nucleotides) under Enterococcus faecium. Its description in RNAcentral is "bacterial SSU rRNA". It matches the Rfam family "Bacterial small subunit ribosomal RNA", at positions 994 to 1533 of the family's 1533-position model. Lineage: Bacteria; Bacillati; Bacillota; Bacilli; Lactobacillales; Enterococcaceae. The record is from RNAcentral.